Long non-coding RNA from Daphnia pulicaria, 736 nucleotides. RefSeq lists it as uncharacterized. The record is from RefSeq and is a predicted model, not a curated record. NCBI's taxonomy places the organism in Eukaryota, Metazoa, Arthropoda, Branchiopoda, Diplostraca, Daphniidae. The transcript is spliced from 3 exons.
UCUCGUGCAAGCACUGUAUUGCCAUCCACAGAGCAAUAGGCGAUUCCUGUUUUAAUGAUCCUUUCGAAACUAGUUAUAACAUUGUACGCAUCACCAUGGAAAUUGCCACCCAUCAUUUGGCGCAUUGCGCCGAAAAACAUCUCGGUGGAGUCGCUUGAAAAUUUCCGGAUUGCCUUUGGAUGACCUCACACAUCUUCUUUGGUGUGAAGCUACUCCGGUUUUUUCCGCCAUUCUGCUGUUUACAGUUUUUCACCAUUUUAGAUGGGCGCGGUAGUAUUGAAAUUGGUGUGAGUAACUCACAGGAUUCCUCAAAAAUCCGUCUCACCAGCGCAGUUAUUAUUUGUAACCAGUGUGGUAACAUCAUUUAAAUCACAAAAAUCCAUGGCGAUUUCCGACUGAGUGAUGUCUUCUUCAGUAUUGGCAGCUGCUUGUUUCAUGGACAAAUUUUAAAGACAGGUUAUGUAAUUUAUUCAGUUUACCCAUAUAAAUUUUUAUUCUUGCCUAGGCAACCUAUUUUUGGUGGAGUGUCCACCACUUCCAUAAUGCAACAUUCCGCCUUUCGUUUUCUACUCGGUUUUCUACUUGUCGCUGAUGCGCCAACAACAUCUGAGAUAGGAGGAAAUUUUGUCGGUACCGCAGAAUGCUUCAAUCUUCUUUUAUUAGGUUCAUAGCACGUUUCUUCAAAAUGAGCUUGGCAUAUAUAAGUAUCCUUAUCGUAGCUUCUGCCAGUUUUCUG